UCAAGUUCGAUAUAUUCAACAGCCUUUAGGCUCUUAUCCAUUUUCCUGCGUGCCAUGGGUAUUAGGUGUCUAGCCCUCUGCUCUCUCGUCGUCAUCAUUUUUACCGUGAAUACAAUGGUGUCAUCGACUACCGUUGCGUGCAACCAACAAACACAGAAGCCCUUCUGCCUUGGACAGGGAAACGGGCCAGACAAGUGCACCUGUGCUACAUAAGGAUUAUACAAAGGAUCCAGGGGAUUACCACUCUCGGCUGCCUGCUUCGGACAAUGAAAUAAGGCUUACUGUGUUAAUAAAGGUUUCGG
RNAcentral lists this long non-coding RNA (302 nucleotides) under Dermacentor andersoni. RNAcentral describes it as "uncharacterized LOC126530575". The record is from RNAcentral. Lineage: Eukaryota; Metazoa; Arthropoda; Arachnida; Ixodida; Ixodidae.